CACCGGCGGCUCGAGUGGUGGCCACUUUUAUUGAGUCUAAAGCGUCCGUAGCCGGCUUGGCAAGUCCCCUGGGAAAUCUGGCGGCUUAACCGUCAGGCGUCCAGAGGAUACUGCCAGGCUUGGGACCGGGAGAGGUGAGAGGUACCUCAGGGGUAGGGGUGAAAUCUUGUGAUCCCUGAGGGACCACCAGUGGCGAAGGCGUCUCACUAGAACGGGUCCGACGGUCAGGGACGAAAGCUGGGGGCACGAACCGG
This 254-nucleotide ribosomal RNA is filed under the name uncultured microorganism. RNAcentral's name for it is "partial 16S ribosomal RNA". It matches the Rfam family "Archaeal small subunit ribosomal RNA", at positions 474 to 727 of the family's 1478-position model. The record is from RNAcentral.